Molecule: transfer RNA, 72 nt
Filed under: Bos taurus (domestic cattle)
Lineage: Eukaryota; Metazoa; Chordata; Mammalia; Artiodactyla; Bovidae
Also listed under: 3 other names
Rfam family: tRNA
About the family: Transfer RNA (tRNA) molecules are approximately 80 nucleotides in length.
Source: Rfam by way of RNAcentral
UCCCUGGUGGUUCAGAUGGUAAAGCAUCUGCCUAUAAUGCGGGAUACCCGGGUUCAAUUCCUUGCUUGGGAA